RNAcentral lists this non-coding RNA (56 nucleotides) under unclassified sequences. The record is from RNAcentral.
CCCGAGUACUCGGGAUGAUAUGUGGGAAUGCGUCAUUGACGUCCCCGAAUCGCAAG